ACGCACGCUGGCGGCGUGCUUAACACAUGCCAGUCGAACGGAAAGGCCCUGCUUGCAGGGUACUCGAGUGGCGAACGGGUGAGUAACACGUGGGUGAUCUGCCCUGCACUUCGGGAUAAGCCUGGGAAACUGGGUCUAAUACCGGAUAGGAGCCAUUUUUAGUGUGAUGGUUGGAAAGUUUUUUCGGUGUAGGAUGGGCUCGCGGCCUAUCAGCUUGUUGGUGGGGUAAUGGCCUACCAAGGCGGCGACGGGUAGCCGGCCUGAGAGGGUGGACGGCCACAUUGGGACUGAGAUACGGCCCAGACUCCUACGGGAGGCAGCAGUGGGGAAUAUUGCACAAUGGGCGCAAGCCUGAUGCAGCGACGCCGCGUGGGGGAUGACGGCCUUCGGGUUGUAAACUCCUUUCGCUAGGGACGAAGCUUUUUGUGACGGUACCUAGAUAAGAAGCACCGGCUAACUACGUG
RNAcentral lists this ribosomal RNA (464 nucleotides) under uncultured bacterium. RNAcentral describes it as "partial 16S ribosomal RNA". It matches the Rfam family "Bacterial small subunit ribosomal RNA", at positions 29 to 507 of the family's 1533-position model. The record is from RNAcentral.